UACGUAGGGGGCUAGCGUUGUCCGGAAUCAUUGGGCGUAAAGAGCGUGUAGGCGGCUUGGUAAGUCCGCUGUGAAAGUCCAGGGCUCAACCCUGGAAUGCCAGUGGAUACUGUCAAGCUAGAGUCCGGAAGAGGCGAGUGGAAUUCCUGGUGUAGCGGUGAAAUGCGCAGAUAUCAGGAGGAACACCAAUGGCGAAGGCAGCUCGCUGGGACGGUACUGACGCUGAGAGACGAAAGCUAGGGGAGCGAAUGGG
This 253-nucleotide ribosomal RNA is filed under the name uncultured bacterium. RNAcentral's name for it is "partial 16S ribosomal RNA". It matches the Rfam family "Bacterial small subunit ribosomal RNA", at positions 524 to 776 of the family's 1533-position model. The record is from RNAcentral.